This 450-nucleotide ribosomal RNA is filed under the name uncultured bacterium. RNAcentral describes it as "partial 16S ribosomal RNA". It matches the Rfam family "Bacterial small subunit ribosomal RNA", at positions 354 to 796 of the family's 1533-position model. The record is from RNAcentral.
GUGGGGAAUUUUGGACAAUGGGCGCAAGCCUGAUCCAGCCAUGCCGCGUGCAGGAUGAAGGCCUUCGGGUUGUAAACUGCUUUUGUACGGAACGAAACGGCUCUUUCUAAUAAAGAGGGCUAAUGACGGUACCGUAAGAAUAAGCACCGGCUAACUACGUGCCAGCAGCCGCGGUAAUACGUAGGGUGCGAGCGUUAAUCGGAAUUACUGGGCGUAAAGCGUGCGAAGGCGGUGAUGUAAGACAGAUGUGAAAUCCCCGGGCUCAACCUGGGAACUGCAUUUGUGACUGCAUCGCUGGAGUGCGGCAGAGGGGGAUGGAAUUCCGCGUGUAGCAGUGAAAUGCGAAGAUAUGCGGAGGAACACCGAUGGCGAAGGCAAUCCCCUGGGCCUGCACUGACGCUCAUGCACGAAAGCGUGGGGAGCAAACAGGAUUAGAAACCCCUGUAGUCC